Molecule: non-coding RNA, 1557 nt
Organism: Cherax quadricarinatus
Lineage: Eukaryota; Metazoa; Arthropoda; Malacostraca; Decapoda; Parastacidae
Source: RefSeq, a predicted model, not a curated record
UCCUGAUGUACGGAGAUGAAGAUUGAGACACUUAUGCACCAUAUGGGAAUCUUUAUUUAGGAAACGUUUCGCCACACAGUGGCUUCAUCAGUCCAAUACAAAGCAGAAAGGCGCAAGAAGAGGAGGAAUUUGAGGUAAUCAGUCCCUCAGCCUGGAGUCAAUGUGUUCAGUCCAUCAAUCUUGUAGAAUGUACAGCAUAGAUUGAUGGACUGAAGCCGGGCCCGAUACUACGUUAGCUGUCAGUGGCCCUUACAAACCCAACAAGACCACUACAACUUGCGCUAUCAAGUGAAGAAACAUCUAAAGGACUUCUGCUCCAGCCUUCGUCGGGUGUGGACGUCUCUCUCGCACCUGUGUAUCAGUCCUUGGACAGCAAAUCUUCCUCGUCCCAUCGAGAAACCGGGCUUAAUACGGCUUAUACUGUCAGCGGCCCUGAUAAACCCAACAAAGAAAGAAAGAACCUGUAAAGACUGCAAGAGACCAACCUGUGAGAGCAUCAAUUUGGCCAUCAUCAGCCAAAUCAUCCCUAAAUACCAGGUUACGCCUGCACCACAUCGCCAUCACAUAGACAACCAAAGUUCCACUUGUCUGGGGCCUGUAUACUAGAUGACUUCUGAUCACCACACACACCUCUAGAACUCCAGUGACCUGAGAGGGUCGCCAGUGAGAGGUGAGGUGCGCCGGUUGCUGAGAUUUGGCGUGCAGCGACCAUAGAGUUUCAUAUGUUAAAAUGGGGGGGGGGAGGUUUAUCUCAUGAAUAAGUUAUUGACAUUUGUAGCCACAAUUAUUGAUAACUACUGGAUGGAUUGUCAUGAUUUUUUGGACAGCUUAUUGAAGAAUGAUGGUUCUGCAGAAAUACACUAAGGAAUUGUGAUAUUCCUUACCGUUACCUUACCUUACCUCUCACAUUGAUAAACAUCUACAGAGUUCCACAGUAAAACAUUAGCCAAUUUAGUCAAAACCUAGGAAGUAUGAUAACUGAUGCACGCAUGAACAAAGAUCACUUACUACUCUCAGGUGACUUCAAUAUAAAUCUCCUGCAAGACCAGGACCCACACAUUACUGAAUUCACAAACACAAUGAGUAACUACAUGUUGCUACCAACAGUAACAAAACCUACAAGAGUUACGGAGACUAGUGUUUCCCUACUUGACCACAUCUGGACCAACACCAUAUCCCCUUUAAAAUCAGGCAUAAUUACAGAUAAUACCACAGACCACUACCCUACUUUCCUCAUAACUGAACAUUAAAAUGGUAUAAAAUACCGACAGGUUGUUAGGUAAGACACAUAUGCAACAGUUAGGUAUCUUUAUCCUCUUCAAGGGGGGGCUCCUUGGCGUGGUGAAGAGGCUCUUGGUCUGAGGAAUUAGACCUAUCGGUCUUCUUCCUCAGACCGAACCUAAUUACCCCCCAAUCUCCCCUCCCCUAUCCCAUCCUCCCCAUCCUCCCCUUUUUCCUUUCCUCCUCCUCCUCCCCAUCCCUCCCUUUUGCCCUUCCUCUUUUUGUCCUUUGGGAUUUCUCCCACAGGCGUGCUAGUUCCUAGGUAGGGGAAAGGAU